ACUGGGAUUUCCUGGUGAGGCCUACCCCAGUGUCCUUGCCUUGUCCAUGGACCUGACUUUCAGUUGUCCUGCGUUGAAGUCUUUUGGAUGCACUGGUGAGAAGUGUUGGUGCAGAACCAGCCAGCAUAUAGCACUCUGAGAUUCAGAAGCUCAGCCUCCCUGUGCCUGCCUUGGUUCCCAUUUGGAUUUCAGAGGCAUGCAGCACUGCAGCACUGCAGCACUGAUCUGCUGACUAACAGUUUUAUAAGAGCUACAUGAGUUCCUGUUGGUCUUGUCUUGCUUCACUUCAUUAGCAGAGGAGUAUACACUGAUGUCAUAAGUAUGUCUGAAGUUUGUGCCCUCUGCUAAGUGUCUGCAGAGAGCUGCACAUCCCAGCAGAUGGAGUAAGAUAAACAGCAAAUGCAAAACUAUUGACGCGAACUGGUUCCCAUUACAGUUUCAAUGUAAAUUAGGUGACAUAUUGCAAAGAGUAUAAAUGUAAGUUAUAGUCAGGUGACUGGAAGGGCCAGAUACUUAUGCCUGUUUUGUAGUUCUGUGAGUUAAUGUUAACUGGGACUGUAGACAUCACAGAAGUGCUACCAGUAAGUCAACUGAGAGCUGUAUAUUUCCCAAAGCACUGCAAGCACCGUAUCGUCCUUCUUCAAUGAGACAUAAAUCAAAAAAAAAAAUUGUUUAUGCAGUCUUUUAAUAAUGAAAACGCAUUUUGUUUUGUUUUCCCAUCAUUCAGCUUCUAUUUAUGCAAAACAUAAGCAAUGUUACAAGGAGGAUUCUUCCGUUAUUCAAAAGUGCAAAAUUCUAUAGACCAUUUUGCAAACAUAAACAAAAACCUUGAGCGGCAAUCAGGAAUACAUGUCUUUUCAGUUGUCAUCAGCAGGAGCAUGCCAAAAAGUGAGUUAGAAAUCACCCCCAA
Cygnus atratus (black swan) is the source of this 910-nucleotide long non-coding RNA. RefSeq lists it as uncharacterized. Lineage: Eukaryota; Metazoa; Chordata; Aves; Anseriformes; Anatidae. The transcript has 3 exons. The record is from RefSeq and is a predicted model, not a curated record.